CACCGCGGUUAUACGAGAGGCCCUAGUUGAUAGACACGGCGUAAAGGGUGGUUAAGGAUAGUAAAAAUUUAAAGCCAAAGGGCCUCCUGGCCGUCAUACGCUUCCGAGUGUCCGAAGCCCAAAUACGAAAGUAGCUUUAACACAAGCCCACCUGACCCCACGAAAGCUGAGAAA
This 174-nucleotide ribosomal RNA is filed under the name Pseudogastromyzon laticeps. RNAcentral describes it as "partial 12S rRNA". Lineage: Eukaryota; Metazoa; Chordata; Actinopteri; Cypriniformes; Gastromyzontidae. The record is from RNAcentral.